RNAcentral lists this non-coding RNA (93 nucleotides) under Paenibacillus sp. Its description in RNAcentral is "c-di-GMP sequence". It matches the Rfam family "c-di-GMP-I riboswitch aptamer". Rfam says of the family: GEMM was predicted in a large-scale screen for bacterial structured RNA regulatory elements. RNAcentral also lists the same sequence under 1 other name. Lineage: Bacteria; Bacillati; Bacillota; Bacilli; Caryophanales; Paenibacillaceae. The record is from RNAcentral.
ACCAAAUAUCGGCAAAGUUCUCCGAAAGGAAAUGACGCAAAGCCAUGGAUCUACAGUCUCAAAUCUUGGGGCCAGGAUAGCCAGGUUGCAGCC